RNAcentral lists this unclassified non-coding RNA (321 nucleotides) under fungal sp. RNAcentral describes it as "partial internal transcribed spacer region". The stretch from base 1 to 46 matches the Rfam family "Eukaryotic small subunit ribosomal RNA", at positions 1786 to 1831 of the family's 1831-position model. Lineage: Eukaryota; Fungi. The record is from RNAcentral.
AAGUCGUAACAAGGUUUCCGUAGGUGAACCUGCGGAAGGAUCAUUACCAAUUCGAAUUGGUGUGCGUUGUGUGUGUGUUCCACACACCACCAAACGCACGCCAAACUCUACCAACCUUUGAUUGUGAACCAUGAGAUUCAAACACAUAGUCUUCCCGUUUUUUGCUUUGCGAAAAGCGGGGAGCAAUUUUAUCCAACCCCAAUUAUAUUCUUCACACCACCACCACGCGUGUGUGUGUGGGGAACAAAAGCAAGCGUUGAGCUCCGAAAGGAAAAAACAGAAUGUCAUGUACAACUUUUAACAACGGAUCUCUUGGCUCCA